UAAAGAACAGCUGUCCGACAGGCCU
This 25-nucleotide non-coding RNA is filed under the name Mus musculus (house mouse). The record is from RNAcentral. Lineage: Eukaryota; Metazoa; Chordata; Mammalia; Rodentia; Muridae. RNAcentral also lists the same sequence under 1 other name.